RNAcentral lists this ribosomal RNA (406 nucleotides) under uncultured bacterium. Its description in RNAcentral is "partial 16S ribosomal RNA". It matches the Rfam family "Bacterial small subunit ribosomal RNA", at positions 30 to 526 of the family's 1533-position model. The record is from RNAcentral.
AUUGAACGCUGGCGGCAGGCCUAACACAUGCAAGUCGAACGAGUGGCGGACGGGUGAGUAAUGUCUGGGAAACUGCCUGACGGAGGGGGAUCACUACUGGAAACGGUAGCUAAUACCGCAUACCAUCGGAUGUGCCCAGAUGGGAUUAGCUAGUAGGUGGGGUAAAGGCUCACCUCGGCGACGAUCCCUAGCUGGUCUGAGAGGAUGACCGACUACACUGUAACUGAGACACGGUCCUGACGCCUCCGGUAGGGAGCAGUGGGGAAGAUUGCACGAUGGGCGCAUGCCUGAUACAGCCAUGCCGCGUGUAUGAAGAAUGCCUUCGGGUUGUAAAGUACUUUCAGCGAGGAGGCGUUACCCGCAGAAGAAGCACCGGCUGACGCCGUGCCAGCAGCCGCGGUAAUAC